This 535-nucleotide ribosomal RNA is filed under the name uncultured bacterium. RNAcentral's name for it is "bacterial SSU rRNA". It matches the Rfam family "Bacterial small subunit ribosomal RNA", at positions 974 to 1509 of the family's 1533-position model. The record is from RNAcentral.
CCUGGCCUUGACAUACUAAGAACUUUCCAGAGAUGGAUUGGUGCCUUCGGGAACUUAGAUACAGGUGCUGCAUGGCUGUCGUCAGCUCGUGUCGUGAGAUGUUGGGUUAAGUCCCGCAACGAGCGCAACCCUUUUCCUUAUUGCCAGCGGGUUAAGCCGGGAACUUUAAGGAUACUGCCAGUGACAAACUGGAGGAAGGCGGGGACGACGUCAAGUCAUCAUGGCCCUUACGGCCAGGGCUACACACGUGCUACAAUGGUCGGUACAAAAGGUUGCUACCUCGCGAGAGGAUGCUAAUCUCAAAAAGCCGAUCGUAGUCCGGAUCGCAGUCUGCAACUCGACUGCGUGAAGUCGGAAUCGCUAGUAAUCGCGGAUCAGAAUGCCGCGGUGAAUACGUUCCCGGGCCUUGUACACACCGCCCGUCACACCAUGGGAGUUUGUUGCACCAGAAGUAGGUAGUCUAACCGCAAGGAGGACGCUUACCACGGUGUGGCCGAUGACUGGGGUGAAGUCGUAACAAGGUAAGCGUAGAUGA